UACGGCUUAAGUUCAACUUUGGAG
This 24-nucleotide microRNA is filed under the name Glycine max (soybean). Its description in RNAcentral is "gma-miR9735". Lineage: Eukaryota; Viridiplantae; Streptophyta; Magnoliopsida; Fabales; Fabaceae. The record is from miRBase by way of RNAcentral.